This 86-nucleotide microRNA precursor is filed under the name Cajanus cajan (pigeon pea). Its description in RNAcentral is "miRNA gene-KK1_046933". Lineage: Eukaryota; Viridiplantae; Streptophyta; Magnoliopsida; Fabales; Fabaceae. The record is from RNAcentral.
UGAAAUAACCGAUUUUAAAAGUAGCACUUUUAAAAUCGAUCAUAAAAUAACCGAUCUUAAAAGUACUUUUAAGAUCGGUUAUUUAU